CCGCCUGGGGAGUACGGCCGCAAGGUUAAAACUCAAAUGAAUUGACGGGGGCCCGCACAAGCGGUGGAGCAUGUGGUUUAAUUCGAUGCAACGCGAAGAACCUUACCUGGUCUUGACAUCCACAGAACUUUCCAGAGAUGGAUUGGUGCCUUCGGGAACUGUGAGACAGGUGCUGCAUGGCUGUCGUCAGCUCGUGUUGUGAAAUGUUGGGUUAAGUCCCGCAACGAGCGCAACCCUUAUCCUUUGUUGCCAGCGAUUAGGUCGGGAACUCA
This 272-nucleotide ribosomal RNA is filed under the name Salmonella enterica subsp. enterica serovar Muenchen. RNAcentral describes it as "partial 16S ribosomal RNA". It matches the Rfam family "Bacterial small subunit ribosomal RNA", at positions 869 to 1141 of the family's 1533-position model. The record is from RNAcentral. RNAcentral also lists the same sequence under 6 other names. Lineage: Bacteria; Pseudomonadati; Pseudomonadota; Gammaproteobacteria; Enterobacterales; Enterobacteriaceae.